GAUGAACGCUGGCGGCGUGCCUAAUACAUGCAAGUCGAACGAAACUUCUUUAUCACCGAGUGCUUGCACUCACCGAUAAAGAGUUGAGUGGCGAACGGGUGAGUAACACGUGGGCAACCUGCCCAAAAGAGGGGGAUAACACUUGGAAACAGGUGCUAAUACCGCAUAACCAUAGUUACCGCAUGGUAACUAUGUAAAAGGUGGCUAUACUACCGCUUUUGGAUGGGCCCGCGGCGCAUUAGCUAGUUGGUAGGGUAAAGGCUUACCAAGGCAAUGAUGCGUAGCCGAAUUGAGAGGUUGAUCGGCCACAUUGGGACUGAGACACGGCCCAAACUCCUACGGGAGGCAGCAGUAGGGAAUCUUCCACAAUGGGCGAAGCCUGAUGGAGCAACGCCGCGUGGGUGAAGAAGGUCUUCGGAUCGUAAAACCCUGUUGUUAGAGAAGAAAGUGCGUGAGAGUAACUGUUCACGUUUCGACGGUAUCUAACCAGAAAGCCACUGCUAACUACGUG
Molecule: ribosomal RNA, 511 nt
Filed under: uncultured bacterium
Lineage: Bacteria
Description: partial 16S ribosomal RNA
Rfam family: Bacterial small subunit ribosomal RNA
Source: RNAcentral